RNAcentral lists this ribosomal RNA (644 nucleotides) under uncultured bacterium. RNAcentral describes it as "bacterial SSU rRNA". It matches the Rfam family "Bacterial small subunit ribosomal RNA", at positions 231 to 885 of the family's 1533-position model. The record is from RNAcentral.
UCGCGGCCUAUCAGCUUGUUGGUGAGGUAAUGGCUCACCAAGGCGACGACGGGUAGCCGGCCUGAGAGGGUGACCGGCCACACUGGAACUGAGAUACGGUCCAGACUCCUACGGGAGGCAGCAGUGGGGAAUAUUGCACAAUGGGCGCAAGCCUGAUGCAGCAACGCCGCGUGAGGGAUGAAGGCCUUCGGGUUGUAAACCUCUUUCAGCAGGGAAGAAGCGAAAGUGACGGUACCUGCAGAAAAAGCACCGGCUAACUACGUGCCAGCAGCCGCGGUAAUACGUAGGGUGCAAGCGUUGUCCGGAAUUAUUGGGCGUAAAGAGCUCGUAGGCGGUUUGUCGCGUCUGCUGUGAAAAUCCAAGGCUCAACCUUGGACCUGCAGUGGGUACGGGCAGACUAGAGUGCGGUAGGGGAGAUGGGAAUUCCUGGUGUAGCGGUGGAAUGCGCAGAUAUCAGGAGGAACACCAAUGGCGAAGGCACAUCUCUGGGCCGUAACUGACGCUGAGGAGCGAAAGCGUGGGGAGCGAACAGGAUUAGAUACCCUGGUAGUCCACGCCGUAAACGGUGGGUGCUAGUUGUGGGCCACAUUCCACGUGGUCCGUGACGAAGUUAACACAUUAAGCACCCCGCCUGGGGAGUACGG